GAUGAAGAACGUAGCGAAAUGCGAUACGUAGUGUGAAUUGCAGAAUCCAGUGAAUCAUCGAAUCUUUGAACGCACAUUGCGCCCGCUAGUAUUCUGGCGGGCAUGCCUGUCCGAGCGUCAUUUCAACCCUCAAGCCCCCGGGCUUGGUGUUGGGGAUCGGCGAGCCUCCGCGCCCGCCGUCCCCUAAAUCUAGUGGCGGUCUCGCUGUAGCUUCCUCUGCGUAGUAGCACACCUCGCACUGGGAAACAGCGCGGCCACGCCGUUAAACCCCCAACUUCUGAACGUUUGACCUCGGAUCAGGUAGGAAUACCCGCUGAACUUAAGCAUAUCAAUAAGCGGAGGA
This 343-nucleotide unclassified non-coding RNA is filed under the name soil metagenome. RNAcentral describes it as "partial contains 5.8S ribosomal RNA, internal transcribed spacer 2, and large subunit ribosomal RNA". The stretch from base 1 to 120 matches the Rfam family "5.8S ribosomal RNA", at positions 35 to 154 of the family's 154-position model. The record is from RNAcentral.